AUCACUGUUCAUGAGAAGGUUAGUUAUUUCUUCCAUAAAAACGUGUAUCCAUAAGACCACGUACCAUCCUAAAUCUAUGCUACAUUCUCAAUUAAAAUAUUUGGUGUGCAAAAGUUAAAAGUUCAAGUGAUGUUUAAAUCACCAGUUACCGGAUUGUCUACUCGGAUCGGAUCGCAUGCAUCAAAACAAUUGAUUAUUAUAUAAAUUGGAAAUAUAAUUUUACACUUUAAUAUAUAUAAUAAGAUGAUUAUCCCCAGUAUGUAUCAAACAAUUGAUUAUUAUAUAAAUUGGAAAUAUUCUGUAGAAGCAUUAUUCCCAACUCUUCUUUGAUUUCAGUUUUUUUUUUGUGGAUUGUUGGUGUUAUAUUUCAAUGCGGAUAAUUAAACAGAAAAUGAUUUACAAUUACGUUUAACAGUAAUGCUCCCUUUAUUUCUAAAUAAUAGUUUUUUAUUUAUUUUUACAUAUAUUGAGAAACAAUUUUUUUUUUUUUUGCUAACCUCACAUUAAUUAAUAAAGAACUCCUUGAUUGGUUGCCUAAUUAGGAGGACGAGUAUCUACAAAAGAAACUUCAGAAAAUAAAAGUUUAGAAGAACGGGCUAACCAGUCCGCUUUAACAUUACAUAAACGAGGAAUAAGAGAGAGCGAGAAAAAGGGGAAAGAGACACGGAGAAAACCAAACUCGUCUAGCAGAUUGGAGAAAGCGGGCCAUUCAUCAGGGGACUGUAUCAUCGAGACUAACUCCGAACAAUCUGUUUCGCCUGACAAUCUAUCCUUCUGGAAAGGAUAUUCUUCAUAGCCCAAAUUAAAGCUUCCAUCUCCGAAUGAAGGGGGGAAGGACACCUCCGUAGGCACUUUGCACCGAACAAUAUCGAUUGAUCAUUUCCUUGAAAACAACACCAUCCUAAACCCAUAGUUGGAUCCGAAGUUUUCC
This 931-nucleotide long non-coding RNA is filed under the name Arabidopsis lyrata. RNAcentral describes it as "long non-coding RNA (ALYR_LNC000473)". The record is from RNAcentral. Lineage: Eukaryota; Viridiplantae; Streptophyta; Magnoliopsida; Brassicales; Brassicaceae.